RNAcentral lists this long non-coding RNA (1263 nucleotides) under Equus asinus (donkey). RNAcentral describes it as "lncRNA (ENSEASG00005038722.1)". Lineage: Eukaryota; Metazoa; Chordata; Mammalia; Perissodactyla; Equidae. The record is from RNAcentral.
GUUCAAACGAAGUUUAGCAAACUUGCUUCAGUCUAAAGAACGUUUCUGUUAAGAUGGCUUAACUAAUAUUUCUGAAAAUGAAGUACAAACGCAUGCCUUGAAGGUGUAUAGGGACCAUAGUGACCCUUCCCCCAAAGCAACAACAAGAAAAAUAAAGACAAAAUAUAUGGAAUAGGUUUUUGAGAUCCUGGACAUCAGGGAACACGAGACAGUGGUCUCUCAGGGACAGGAAACAAAUGAGGUAUUCCCCGUCAGCCAUGCUGCCCUUCCCCAGGAAAGGAGGAAGACAAAUGCCGCUGUCUGAGAAAGGAAAAUAUCUGCAAUCAAGCAGGUCGUGAUCUGUCAUUGGCCUCUGUCACUUAAUAAUCUCUUGCUCCAAAAUGAGUUAAAUCUCUUAUGGAAAGACUGGACUGCCUUGAUGCGUUAUGAAUGAACGCUCCCGCCCUCUGGAAGUGAUGAGUUUGGUCCAUGUGCUUUGAGCUGUCACCCACUCUAAAUGAUUACGGAUCUGUUAUAUAGCAGAAAUCUGUUAUUACCCAAGAUCCACAAGGACAUUCUGAAAUGAGAGUUUAAAAGGAAACAUGUUUAUGGUAGACAAUUUGGAAAAUAGAGGAAAGGACUGAGAAGAAACAAAAAAUAUUCCAUUUAAACCACCAGCCAGAGGGGCUGCGGGAGGGCUGGGCCCCACCUAUGAAGUCAUCCUCUGGGCCAGAGCGAAUGGCUCGGGAAUGGACCCAUAACCUAACUCAGGCCACUGAGAGAAGAACUGAAGUUACAAUGCUCCGGUCCUGAAGAUGCCAGAAACUGGAUUAAUCAAGUCAAAGGACCGAGCUGUUCCAGGUGGCUCUUCUCAAGGAUGGAUCUUGGCGGUUGGGAGUCAAGAAGGAACAAGAAAAGACCAGAGCCACAGGUCAUGUUUGGGUUACCAAUGACGUCAGUUUUCCAGAUGACAAUUUUUCAGAUUUUCUUAUUAACCUACAGCUUCUCCUGGAAGUAGACUCUCCCAUCAAGCCUGAAAGUCACUGCACUUUUUUUGUGCUUAUCUUCUCCAGGGAAGAAGUCUUGAAAACUCAGAUGCCAUCACCAGCUCUUCUUCCCAACCUCCCAUUUGCUGUUGAACUGCCGCACUCUGACAUCAUCCUGACCAGUCACUGACAGGACCCCCUGAAAACCAAAUCCAGACAGUGCUUGUAAAAGGCAUCAAUAGUUCACUGGAAAGAUUCUUAUUAAUAAAAACUAUUUCGAAGGGAAAGGAAGGGAGAA